Molecule: ribosomal RNA, 809 nt
Filed under: Marinomonas ushuaiensis DSM 15871
Lineage: Bacteria; Pseudomonadati; Pseudomonadota; Gammaproteobacteria; Oceanospirillales; Oceanospirillaceae
Description: bacterial LSU rRNA
Rfam family: Bacterial large subunit ribosomal RNA
Source: RNAcentral
UAGGAUAGGUGGGAGGCUUUGAAGAUGGGACGCUAGUCUCAUUGGAGCCAAUCUUGAAAUACCACCCUGGUAUGUUUGAGGUUCUAACUCAGGUCCAUUAUCUGGAUCGAGGACACUGUGUGGUGGGUAGUUUGACUGGGGCGGUCUCCUCCCAAAGAGUAACGGAGGAGCACGAAGGUGUGCUCAGCAUGGUCGGAAAUCAUGCGUAGAGUGUAAAGGCAAAAGCACGCUUAACUGCGAGACAGACACGUCGAGCAGGUACGAAAGUAGGUCUUAGUGAUCCGGUGGUUCUGUAUGGAAGGGCCAUCGCUCAACGGAUAAAAGGUACUCCGGGGAUAACAGGCUGAUACCGCCCAAGAGUUCACAUCGACGGCGGUGUUUGGCACCUCGAUGUCGGCUCAUCACAUCCUGGGGCUGAAGCCGGUCCCAAGGGUAUGGCUGUUCGCCAUUUAAAGUGGUACGCGAGCUGGGUUUAGAACGUCGUGAGACAGUUCGGUCCCUAUCUGCCGUGGACGUUUGAGAUUUGAGAGGAGCUGCUCCUAGUACGAGAGGACCGGAGUGGACGAACCUCUGGUGUUCCGGUUGUCACGCCAGUGGCAUUGCCGGGUAGCUACGUUCGGACGGGAUAACCGCUGAAAGCAUCUAAGCGGGAAGCCUCCCUCAAGAUAAGAUCUCACUGGGACAUAAGUCCCCUAAAGAGCCGUUCGAGACUAGGACGUUGAUAGGUUGGGUGUGUAAGUGCUGUGAGGCAUUGAGCUAACCAAUACUAAUUGCUCGUGAGGCUUGACCAUAUAACACCAAAGUGGUUU